This 158-nucleotide microRNA precursor is filed under the name Citrus sinensis (sweet orange). RNAcentral's name for it is "miR3950 stem-loop (csi-MIR3950)". The record is from miRBase by way of RNAcentral. Lineage: Eukaryota; Viridiplantae; Streptophyta; Magnoliopsida; Sapindales; Rutaceae.
AAAACCCAAUUUUUUCGGCAACAUGAUUUCUUAGUAGAAACCAAAAUUUACUUUUUGUGCCAACAGGAUUUAUAAUAAGAAUUUAUGCAAACGGAUUUCUUUUAGAAGUCAAAUUUUGACAAGAUUGAUCAUCAUCGUUGGUGGGAAACACCAAGUUU